UGUGGUUAAGCUACAAAGAGCGCAUAGUGGAUGCCUUGGCACAAGAUGGCGAUGAAAGGCGUGGCAAGCUGCGAUAAGCUGCGGUGAGAUGCAAACAAUCUUUGACCCGCAGAUUCCUGAAUGGGGCAACCCGUCCACCGAUGAGGUGGUCAUUCAUGCGUAAAUACAUAGCGUAUGAAAGCUAUACCGGGUGAAGUGAAACAUCUCAGUAACCCGAGGAAAAAAGACCGAAUGGUAUUCCCUCAGUAGUGGCGAGCGAAAGGGGAACAGCUCAAAUUUCACCAUAUGCCUAAAGGCUAUACCUGUUGUAUGGUGGAAAGUUAUAGGACCCGGCCUGGUCCGUGUAUAGACAGACCAGGAAGUUACAAAUUCUUUCCUUAGCAGAAUAAUACUGGAAUGGUUAACCAAAGAAGGUGAAAGUCCUGUAAGCGAAAAGGAAAGGACUUCCGGCUGGGUUCCUGAGUACCACGGGGCACGUGAAACCCUGUGGGAAGUUUGCCCGACCAUGGGCAAAAGCUAAAUACAAUCUUGUGACCGAUAGUGAACUAGUACCGCGAGGGAAAGGUGAAAAGUACCCCGAAAGGGGAGUGAAAAGUACCUGAAACUGUGUGCUUACAAGCAGUAGGAGGACCAUGUUCCUAUUCCAGGCAGCACUCGUUGUUGUCUGGAAGACGGAACGGUCUGACUGCGUGCCUUUUGCAGAAUGAGCCAGCGAGUUACUCGGUGCAGCAAGGUUAAGCCCCGAUGGGGCGAAGCCGCAGCGAAAGCAAGUCUUAAUAGGGCGUUUAGUUGCAUCGAGUAGACCCGAAACUAAGUGAUCUAUCCAUGGUCAAGAUGAAAUUCCGAGAAAUCGGAAUGGAGGUCUGAACACGUUAGUCUCGAGAAACUAUGUGAUGAACUGUGGAUAGGGGCGAAAGACCAAUCUAACUUAGAGAUAGCUGGUUCUCCCCGAAAUAGCUUUAGGGCUAGCCUUGCAUAAUUACCAUCAGGGGUAGAGCACUGAAUGGACUAGCAUCCUUAACCGGAUUGCAAAUCCAAUCAAACUCCGAAUACUGAUGGUUACAACGCAGGAGUCAGCCUGUGAGGGAUAAUCUUCAUGGACAAAAGGGGAACAACCCAGACCGCCGGAUAAGGUCCCAAAGAAUGGACUAAGUGGAAAAGGAUGUGGGAUUGCAUAGACAACUAGGAUGUUGGCUUAGAGGCAGCCAUCAUUUAAAGAGUGCGUAACAGCUCACUAUUCGAUGCAGUCCUGCGCCGAUAAUCUACGGGGCUCAAGUUCAUCACCGAAGCCGCGGAUGCAUUACCGCCCCCUAAAGGGGUUUAACGACGGGAUGCGUGGUAGGGGAGCGUCCUGAUUCGGUUGAAGGCAUACCGAGAGGAGUGCUGGAUGAAUCAGGAGUGACGAUGCUGGCAUGAGUAGCGAUAAUUUCUAUGAAAAAUGGGAACGCCGAAAAUCUAAGGUUUCCUUGAGCAAGGCUAAUCCGCUCAGGGUAAGUCGGGACCUAAGCCGAGGCACUGAAUGCGUAGGCGAUGGACAAAUCCGUUAAUAUUCGGAUACCGCCUGAAAACGUUAUCACCAAUGGGGUGACCCAGGAAGGUAAGAUCAGCUCUGCGACGGUUUGCAGGGUCGAAUCUCUUAGGAAGGCUGUCCAGGAAAAUCCGGGCGGCCGUUAAUUCCAAGGAGUUACCGGGAGUUCCGUUAAUAGCGGGAUGAACUGGUCUAUCCUACACUGGCGAGAAAAACCUCUAGGGAGUUUUUAGGUGCCCGUACUAUAAACCGACACAGGUAGAUGAGGAGAGAAUCCUAAGGCGCUCGAGAGAACCAUCGUUAAGGAACUAGGCAAGUUGACUCCGUAACUUCGGAAGAAGGAGUGCCCAGAAUACAGUGGAAAGCGGAUAGUGAAAAGUGAAAGAGUGUCGAAAGAUACAAUUUCAUUCGUAGCUAUUUGCCGGAAGCUGUCCCUUUUGGGUCGCAGAAACAAGCCCCCGGUGACUGUUUAUCAAAAACACAGGUCUCUGCUAAGGCGAUAAGCCGAAAUAUAGGGACUGACGCCUGCCCGGUGCUGGUAGGUUAUGAGGAGGUGUUAUUUCCGCCGUAAGGCGGAGAGAAGCGCUGAAUUUAAGCCCCAGUAAACGGCGGUCGUAACUAUAACGAUCCUAUGGUAGCGAAAUUCCUUGUCGGGUAAGUUCCGACCCGCAUGAAUGGCGUAACAAUCAGGGGACUGUCUCAACGAUGGACUCGGCGAAAUUGUACUACCGGUGAAGAUGCCGGUUUCCCACGACAGGACGGAAAGACCCCGUGGAGCUUUACUGUGAUUUGAUCCUGAAUUUUGGGUGUGAAUGUAGAGAAUAGGUGGGAGGCUUUGAAGUCCCGACGCUAGUUGGGACGGAGCCGCCAGUGUAAUACCACCCUUUUUCACUUGAAGUUCUAACCUUUAUCCCUAUAUCGGGAUAAGGAACAAGGUCAGAAAGACAGUUUGACUGGGGCGGUCGCCUCCUAAAGAGUAACGGAGGUGUCCAAAGGUUCCCUCGAUCUGGUUAGAAAUCAGAUUAAUGAGCGCAAAGGCAUAAGGGAGCCUGACUGCGAGACAAACAAGUCGAGCAGGUGCGAAAGCAGGGCUUAGUGAUCCGGCGGUUCCGUAUGGAAGGGCCGUCGCUCAACGGAUAAAAGCUACCCCGGGGAUAACAGGCUGAUCUGGUCCAAGAGUCCACAUCGACGACCAGGUUUGGCACCUCGAUGUCGGCUCAUCGCAUCCUGGGGCUGAAGUAGGUCCCAAGGGUUGGGCUGUUCGCCCAUUAAAGCGGUACGCGAGCUGGGUUCAAUACGUCGUGAGACAGUAUGGUCCUAAUCCGUCGUGGGCGUAAGGAUAUUUGAGAGGAGCUGCUCCUAGUA
RNAcentral lists this ribosomal RNA (2893 nucleotides) under Candidatus Desantisbacteria bacterium CG1_02_49_89. RNAcentral describes it as "bacterial LSU rRNA". It matches the Rfam family "Bacterial large subunit ribosomal RNA". The record is from RNAcentral. Lineage: Bacteria; Candidatus Desantisiibacteriota.